Molecule: ribosomal RNA, 497 nt
Filed under: uncultured bacterium
Lineage: Bacteria
Description: partial 16S ribosomal RNA
Rfam family: Bacterial small subunit ribosomal RNA
Source: RNAcentral
GAUGAACGCUGGCGGCGUGCCUAAUGCAUGCAAGUCGAGCGAACAGACGAGGAGCUUGCUCCUCUGACGUUAGCGGCGGACGGGUGAGUAACACGUGGAUAACCUACCUAUAAGACUGGGAUAACUUCGGGAAACCGGAGCUAAUACCGGAUAACAUGUUGAACCGCAUGGUUUAACAGUGAAAGACGGUCUUGCUGUCACUUAUAGAUGGAUCCGCGCCGCAUUAGCUAGUUGGUAAGGUAACGGCUUACCAAGGCAACGAUGCGUAGCCGACCUGAGAGGGUGAUCGGCCACACUGGAACUGAGACACGGUCCAGACUCCUACGGGAGGCAGCAGUAGGGAAUCUUCCGCAAUGGGCGAAAGCCUGACGGAGCAACGCCGCGUGAGUGAAGAAGGUCUACGGAUCGUAAAACUCUGUUAUUAGGGAAGAACAAAUGUGUAAGUAACUAUGCACGUCUUGACGGUACCUAAUCAGAAAGCCACGGCUAACUACGUG